This 427-nucleotide ribosomal RNA is filed under the name uncultured bacterium. RNAcentral describes it as "partial 16S ribosomal RNA". It matches the Rfam family "Bacterial small subunit ribosomal RNA", at positions 355 to 774 of the family's 1533-position model. The record is from RNAcentral.
UGGGGAAUAUUGCACAAUGGGCGCAAGCCUGAUGCAGCCAUGCCGCGUGUAUGAAGAAGGCCUUCGGGUUGUAAAGUACUUUCAGCGAGGAGGAAGGCGGUAAGGUUAAUAACCUUAUCGAUUGACGUUACUCGCAGAAGAAGCACCGGCUAACUCCGUGCCAGCAGCCGCGGUAAUACGGAGGGUGCAAGCGUUAAUCGGAAUUACUGGGCGUAAAGCGCACGCAGGCGGUCUGUCAAGUCGGAUGUGAAAUCCCCGGGCUCAACCUGGGAACUGCAUUCGAAACUGGCAGGCUAGAGUCUUGUAGAGGGGGGUAGAAUUCCAGGUGUAGCGGUGAAAUGCGUAGAGAUCUGGAGGAAUACCGGUGGCGAAGGCGGCCCCCUGGACAAAGACUAACGCUCAGGUGCGAAAGCGUGGGGAGCAAACA